AUUGAACGCUGGCGGCAGGCCUAACACAUGCAAGUCGAGCGGAGGAAGGGAGCUUGCUCCUGGAUUCAGCGGCGGACGGGUGAGUAAUGCCUAGGACUCUGCCUAGUAGUGGGGGAUAACGUCCGGAAACGGGCGCUAAUACCGCAUACGUCCUGAUGGAGAAAGUGGGGGAUCUUCGGACCGCACGCGAUCAGAUGAGCCUAGGUCGUAUUAGCUAGUUGGUGGGGUAAAGGCCUACCAAGGCGACGAUCCGUGACUGGUCUGAGAGGAUGAUCAGUCACACUGGAACUGAGACACGGUCCCGACUCCUACGGGAGGCAGCAGUGGGGAAUAUUGGACAAUGGGCGAAAGCCUGAUCCAGCCAUGCCGCGUGUGUGAAGAAGGUCUUCGGAUUGUAAAGCACUUUAAGUUGGGAGGAAGGGCAGUAAGUUAAUACCUUGCUGUUUUGACGUUACCAACAGAAUAAGCACCGGCUAACUUCGUG
This 484-nucleotide ribosomal RNA is filed under the name uncultured bacterium. RNAcentral describes it as "partial 16S ribosomal RNA". It matches the Rfam family "Bacterial small subunit ribosomal RNA", at positions 30 to 507 of the family's 1533-position model. The record is from RNAcentral.